AUUGAACGCUGGCGGCAGGCUUAACACAUGCAAGUCGAGCGAAGGCUUCGGUCUUAGCGGCGAACGGGUGAGUAAUACCUAGGAAUCUGCCUAUUAGUGGGGGAUAACGAAUCGAAAGGUUCGCUAAUACCGCAUACGUCCUACGGGAGAAAGGGGGGGAGUCUUCGGACCUCUCGCUAAUAGAUGAGCCUAGGCCGGAUUAGCUAGUUGGUAGGGUAAAGGCCUACCAAGGCGACGAUCUGUAGCUGGUCUGAGAGGAUGGCCAGCCACACUGGAACUGAGACACGGUCCAGACUCCUACGGGAGGCAGCAGUGGGGAAUAUUGGACAAUGGGGGCAACCCUGAUCCAGCCAUGCCGCGUGUGUGAAGAAGGCCUUCGGUUGUAAAGCACUUAAGUCGAGGAGGAAGGGUUUUAGUUUAAGUUAACUACUAAAG
This 435-nucleotide ribosomal RNA is filed under the name uncultured bacterium. RNAcentral's name for it is "bacterial SSU rRNA". It matches the Rfam family "Bacterial small subunit ribosomal RNA", at positions 30 to 475 of the family's 1533-position model. The record is from RNAcentral.